CUACGGGCUGCACCAGUGAGGAAUAUUGCACAAUGGGGGGAACCCUGAUGCAGCAACGCCGCGUGGAGGAUGACGCAUUUCGGUGUGUAAACUCCUUUUAUAUGUCAAGAAAAUGACGGUAGCAUAUGAAUAAGCGCCGGCUAACUCCGUGCCAGCAGCCGCGGUAAUACGGAGGGCGCAAGCGUUACUCGGAAUCACUGGGCGUAAAGGACGCGUAGGCGGGUUGAAAAGUCAGGUGUGAAAGCCUACAGCUUAACUGUAGAACUGCACUUGAAACUCUCAAUCUAGAGUAUGGGAGGGGCAGAUGGAAUUAGUGGUGUAGGGGUAAAAUCCGUAGAUAUCACUAGGAAUACCUAAAGCGAAGGCGAUCUGCUGGAACAUUACUGACGCUAAGGCGUGAAAGCGUGGGGAGCAAACAGGAUUAGAUACCCCUGUAGUC
RNAcentral lists this ribosomal RNA (439 nucleotides) under uncultured bacterium. RNAcentral describes it as "partial 16S ribosomal RNA". It matches the Rfam family "Bacterial small subunit ribosomal RNA", at positions 339 to 795 of the family's 1533-position model. The record is from RNAcentral.